UAAACUAUAACAACAAUGAUUCGGUUACACGAAAUUGAUGGAGCUAAUUAAUAUUUAUUUAUAGAUCUUACGAUGUUGCAUAAUUAGAUAAAUUUAAAUUAGGGGUGACAGGCUUUUCAAAAUCAAUGAUAACUUGAUAGCUAAGAGAUGUACUAGUACUAAGACACUCUUGGAGUGACAAGGUUACAAGAGGAUGGCGAAAAAGAGUUUUUAUUCUGUAUCCUAUUUAACCAUAAAUUCAUUUAUUAUUAUAACACUAAUUUUCUAAAAUUGCCUAGAUUAUUAGCUACUCAUAAAAUUAUCUUACCAUUUACAAUGUUUAUAUAAGUAACAAACACAUAUUAGUAAUGAACUCGGCAAUAAGCUUUUCAACUGUUUAUCAAAAACAUAGCUAUAUGAGUUAAAUAUAUAGUGCUUUCUGCUCAAUGAUUUUUUAAAUGGCCGCAGUACCCUGACUGUGCUAAGGUAGCGCAAUCAAUUGACUUUUAAUUGAAGUCCUGUAUGAAAGAAACUAUGGAGAGCUACUCUAUCACUCAUAAUUAAUGAAUUUACUAAAGAAGUGAAAAUUCUUCUGGAUAAUCAAUAGACGAGAAGACCCUAGAAAUUUUGAGGAUGACUUUUUGUUGGGGCAACAGAGUAGUAAUUUAAUCUACUGCUAGUACACGAAAUAAAUAUUUUGACAGAUAAAAUUACUCUAGGGAUAACAGCAUAAUUUACGAAAGUUUGUGACCUCGAUGUUGGAUUAAGGAGUUAACGUUUAGAAG
This 764-nucleotide ribosomal RNA is filed under the name Austrochloritis abbotti. RNAcentral's name for it is "partial large subunit ribosomal RNA". Lineage: Eukaryota; Metazoa; Mollusca; Gastropoda; Stylommatophora; Camaenidae. The record is from RNAcentral.